GGAUGAACGCUGGCGGCGUGCCUAAUACAUGCAAGUCGAGCGAACAGACGAGGAGCUUGCUCCUCUGACGUUAGCGGCGGACGGGUGAGUAACACGUGGAUAACCUACCUAUAAGACUGGGAUAACUUCGGGAAACCGGAGCUAAUACCGGAUAAUAUAUUGAACCGCAUGGUUCAAUAGUGAAAGACGGUUUUGCUGUCACUUAUAGAUGGAUCCGCGCCGCAUUAGCUAGUUGGUAAGGUAACGGCUUACCAAGGCAACGAUGCGUAGCCGACCUGAGAGGGUGAUCGGCCACACUGGAACUGAGACACGGUCCAGACUCCUACGGGAGGCAGCAGUAGGGAAUCUUCCGCAAAGGGCGAAAGCUUGACGGAGCAACGCCGCGUGAGUGAUGAAGGUCUUCGGAUCGUAAAACUCUGUUAUUAGGGAAGAACAAAUGUGUAAGUAACUAUGCACGUCUUGACGGUACCUAAUCAGAAAGCCACGGCUAACUACGUG
Molecule: ribosomal RNA, 498 nt
Filed under: uncultured bacterium
Lineage: Bacteria
Description: partial 16S ribosomal RNA
Rfam family: Bacterial small subunit ribosomal RNA
Source: RNAcentral